RNAcentral lists this ribosomal RNA (497 nucleotides) under uncultured bacterium. Its description in RNAcentral is "partial 16S ribosomal RNA". It matches the Rfam family "Bacterial small subunit ribosomal RNA", at positions 28 to 507 of the family's 1533-position model. The record is from RNAcentral.
GAUGAACGCUGGCGGCGUGCCUAAUACAUGCAAGUCGAGCGAACAGAUGAGGAGCUUGCUCCUCUGACGUUAGCGGCGGACGGGUGAGUAACACGUGGAUAACCUACCUAUAAGACUGGGAUAACUUCGGGAAACCGGAGCUAAUACCGGAUAAUAUAUUGAACCGCAUGGUUCAAUAGUGAAAGACGGUUUUGCUGUCACUUAUAGAUGGAUCCGCGCCGCAUUAGCUAGUUGGUAAGGUAACGGCUUACCAAGGCAACGAUGCGUAGCCGACCUGAGAGGGUGAUCGGCCACACUGGAACUGAGACACGGUCCAGACUCCUACGGGAGGCAGCAGUAGGGAAUCGUCCGCAAUGGGCGAAAGCCUGACGGAGCAACGCCGCGUAAGUGAUGAAGGUCUUCGGAUCGUAAAACUCUGUUAUUAGGGAAGAACAAAUGUGUAAGUAACUAUGCACGUCUUGACGGUACCUAAUCAGAAAGCCACGGCUAACUACGUG